Pelobates cultripes (western spadefoot toad) is the source of this 3436-nucleotide non-coding RNA. Lineage: Eukaryota; Metazoa; Chordata; Amphibia; Anura; Pelobatidae. The record is from the annotation of a GenBank genome assembly.
GGAGACACUAUAGAUGUUUUACAUAUGUGUUUUAUAGGUUAGGAAGUGGAAAAAUUAAAAUCUCAAAUGUUGCAUUUCCUGAUGUGUUUUAUCAUUAUCUUACUGAGAAUUACUCGGAAAAACAAACAAACAAGGAAAUGGAAAGUUAAGCAGCAGCUUAAAUCUUUAAAUUGUACCAUAAUUUAACUAUAAAAUAUGUUGAGUGGAAAUUCCUCAGUGUAUAUUAUUUUGCCUUUAAUUUUAAACACAAGAAUAUGAAAACUGGGCAGAAAUAAAAAGUUGGUUAUCAGAAAAGAGAGCCUUCAGAGAAUGUCUUAUUGUGUAAUGCAUGCUGCUUCAAGACUAGGUCUUGAGAGAUGUCCGAAUCUGGACUGACUUGUUGAUGUUACAAUUGCUAAAAAUAUAUAUAUGUAUUUAUUUUUUUUACAAUAUUUAAAAAGCAGUGUGAUUUGUCCAAUAAGAAAUCCACAGAAUACGCUCUUUCCUGAUUGUUAUACUAGUGGCCGUAGUUACGCCAGAACAUUAAAGAGUCAUCAAGUGCAAAGUCCAGUGUUUUAUUAUAUACUUUACAAACUCGUUCAUGAAUUUUAAUUUUGUUUGUGUUCAAAUUUUAACUUCUAAUCACCAUUUUGAACUUAACAGUAAUUAUUUAUAUAAAAAAAUUUGUAUGAAAUUAUCAAUGAGCUAUAGCAAAAUGUUUGGGUACAGCAAUGGGCUCUCAUUUUGUAACAAACACCGAGAGUUAUUGUCAGAUUAUAAUUCGUGUUUUUGUGUCUAUUUCACCUUAUAAGGGAUUACUUAAAUUUAUUUUAGGCAACCUGACAUUCAAUGGCGUGCUUUAACUGAAAACCAGGUAGAUUAUAUAAAAUACGCUGCCAGCGAAUCCUUUGGUAAUGUUUAAUUUAUAACAUUUUCUAUUUUUAUAUCCAUUUUUCCUUUUAUUGUCGUGUACAACUGCACUGGCAUGGCUUAAGGUCUAGGUUCAAAAGUACUAGUCUGGAGCACAUCACCUAUACCGAUUCUACCUCUGGGUUACUGUUAAGAUGUGCCUGUUCACACUUUAAUUUAGCCUAUUGUAAAUAGAUCUCUGGCUCUUCUUAGUUUAUUUAUUUAUUGUUUUAAUAGAAGAUACAUUAAUUUCCUUGCAUCAAUAUAGCUCAGUGUUGGAUCUUGUGCCACCAUUUUUCAACAACUACAAAAACUAAUUAUAUUUCCACUACAAGUUAUAUCAGCCGAUGUCUCAUAUAUACAGGACAUUCAGAGUGUAUCAAGACCUCUCCAAUUAGUUCACUUUUUUAUAUUGCAGCCUUAUCCUACAAUUAUUUUUUUUUAAAUUUAACCUACACUCCAUAACCCCUUAAUAAAAAAUAGCAAAAACAAUAUUCUUGAAAACUUUGCAAAAUUUAAAAAAAGAAAUAACUGAAAUUUCACGUUGAUAUAAGUAUUCAGACACUUUGCACAUAUGCAACCCAUUUCUCUGCAUCAUCCUUGAGAGGUUUCUACACUUUUCUUGGAGUCCACCUUUGACAAAUACAAUUGACUGUUAAAGGUGUGGAAAGGCACACACCUGUCUAUUAAAGGUCUCCCAGCUGUAACUGCAUAUCAAAAACUAAACCAUGAAAGCAUAGGAACUGCCUGAUGAGCUCAUAGACAGGAUUCUAUUGAGGAACAGAGCUGGGGAAGGCUACAAAUACAUUCUGAUGCUUUGAAUGUUGCCAAGAGCAUUGGACUCCAUAAUUCAUUAAAGUUUGUUACAACCAGGACUCUUGCUAGCCACCUAGUCAAACAGGCCCAUAAGAGGAGAAGGACCUUGGUAAGAGAAAUAAAUAAGAACCCAAUGGUCACGGUGAAUGAGCUCCAGGGAUGUGUGGACAUGGUGGAAACUUGCUAAAGGACAACCAUCACUCCACCAAUCUUGUGUUUAUGACAGACUGGUCAGAAGCCUCUCCUCACUGAAAGACACAUGAAAGCCUGCUUCGGAUGUGCAAAAAAAUAAAAAUAGCACCAAAAGGUCACGCCGACUGUGAAAAACAAGAUUAUCUGGUGAAACGAGGAUUGAACAGUUUGGCCUCAAUUCAAGGCAUCAUGUCUGGAGACAGCCAGGCACCGCUCAUCACAAGUGCAAGACCAUCCCAGGGGUGCCAUGUAUGCUUUGGGAGUGUUUUUCAGCUACAGGAACUGGGAGACUAGUCAGAGUUGAAGUAAAGCUGAAAGCAAUAAUCAGAUAUCCUUAAUGAAAACCUGGUCCAGAGAAGUCAGGUCCUCAGACUGGCUUGAAGGAUAACCAUUCAACAGGACAAUGACCCUAAGUUCACAGCCAAGACUGCACAAGAGCGGCUUAGAGACAACUUUGUAAAUGUCAUUGAGUGGCCACCUCAAACUUACCCAACUGAGCAUCUCUGAAGACACCUGAAAAUGUCUGUCCACCGAAGGGCGAAGUCUAACCUGACAGAGCUUGAGAGGAUCUUAUGAGUGAAAGAAACUAGCCACAUCCAAGGGUGCAAAGCUUGUCGUGUCAUACCCCAAAAGACUUGAGGCUGUAAUUGCUGCCAAAGGUGCUUCAACUAAGUACUGAGUUAAUGGUCUGAAUACUCAUGUAUGUGAUAUUUCAAUAUUUUCUUUUUAAUAUAAUUCCAAUCUUUGCCUGAUUGUGAGUGCAAAUUGAUGUGAGGAGAAAAAUAUAUUUAUAAAAUGUAAACAAUUGUAGCAUAAAGCUGCAACAUAUGUUACCGGAUACUUUCCAAAUGUACUGUAUAUAGCUGCAGUGAAUUUACUCUUCUGUUUUAGUGGGAAUAAAUCUAGAUCUUAUUUCCUAAUCUAAAACUUGUAUAUGGUAAAACAAUUUAUAAAAAUAGUGUUCUUCAUUUUACCACAUAUUUUAUAUACAUAUUAACACACAAGACGGUCAUAUAAGUUUAUUGUUCCUGCUUAAUUAAAGUGCUUGUUUUUACACCACAUGUAAAAUAUAAUGUAAUAGCUGCCUUCGAAUAAACCCAAUAAAAAUGGUUAAAUCAUUUCUUUAAGUUAACCAGGCACAGACCUUUUUGUAAACAGUUACAUUUAUUUCCCCCUUCAUUAAUUUGUAUCACUUCAAAAUGUAGAUAAAAUAUAGAACGUUAAACAGCCUUGUGGUUUUUUUUUCCCUUUUUUAAAUAUAAUUAACCUGUUUUUAGUAGUCUUCCAAAAUAAAAAAAAAAUUAAAAUAGGGUUACAUCUGAACAGGCCAUGUGUUUAUUUUGGGCCCUAACUAGUAACUGAAAAAUGAAUGUGGCUUACGCUUUUAAAAUGCUUGUAUUGUGCAAUCAUUACAAGCUUGUAAACUCACAAACACACAACCUAUUAGACUACGAUAAGAGAACCUUUUCAGCUUUAAUCUUGCAUGAAAUCAAUAGAGUAAUAAUAACUAGCUAGUAUUUACAGAAUGGAUUAAACCUGA